Xiphias gladius (swordfish) is the source of this 2223-nucleotide long non-coding RNA. RefSeq lists it as uncharacterized. The transcript is spliced from 4 exons. NCBI's taxonomy places the organism in Eukaryota, Metazoa, Chordata, Actinopteri, Istiophoriformes, Xiphiidae. The record is from RefSeq and is a predicted model, not a curated record.
GGAGGUGACGGGCUCAGGCUGCUCCUAUGCAUGCAGGCUCGCUGGAGCGCGCGGAUCAGCCGAGCUCUAGCGCCCACUGCCAAACACUUUCUUGGCCGCUGAUGGUACUUUUCUCCCCCUUUAUUUUUUUUUUUUUCCCUCUACUUGGCCUGAUAGGAGCUAUUUAAAUCAGCCACGCAGCGAAUCAGAUGUGUCUCCCAACACUGCGCUCCGCUCUCCUUCCUGCGCCUCAAGUGACCGGAGAAGCGCAAAAAUCCUCACCAAGCGAUGUCCUUUUUCUUGGCGCUGAGUGGAAUAAAGUUCUUUUUUUUCUGUUUUUUUUCUUUUCUUUAGAGGCAAUCCUCAGAGCGGAACACGUGGCUCCACGGUGGUGAAAACAAAGGAUAAAAGAUUCUUGGAGAGGGGAAAGGAAGAACAAGAAGGGCACUAGGGGUUGGUGCAGAGAUUUGCAUGAUCAUUCGUUCCGAUCCACUGCGUUUGACCUCAACCAGAACCAAUAAUCUACCUGGUGUCGGGCCCUGGGAUCUAGAUGACACUUGGCAAGCCACAGAAGCCGCAAGACAACUGGAUGAAAUAUUUAAAUGAAAGACGGCAGGGGUAGUAGAAGUGAAGAAGGGAAGGGGAAAAAGAGGGAUAGAAAUGAAUACAGGGCAGAGGACAAGGGAAGAUGGGAGAGACGAUAUUCAGAUGGCGAGCAGAAUGUGAAGGACUUCUUGGCAAAGGGAGGGCUUUGUGACAAGAAGUGCAGAUGAACUGGCUUUCACCUACAAAGUAGCCUGAAGAGAUAUAUUCCAAUACAGUAUGAGAUCACAAAGCUUUAUCUUAGAAGCAUCAGCAAGUCACAGUUUGUAUCAGAGUACUUUCAGCAGUGUGCCAGCUCAGCUGCUUAGAGGAAGGCAAUGAAUCUAAAACAUAACCAAAUGAAAUGUAACUUUGUUAUCAUGACUUUCUGCCUUUAGAAUUAAGUAUAUCUGACUUUUUUGUCAAUAAGACUAAAAGUGUAUCGGCUACGCUGUACUAAAUGCUAAUGUUACUAUGGCAGCGUGCUCAAUGACAAACCUAACAUUCUGAUGUUUAGUUUUGGUUUUGAAGAUAUUUGGUCAUAAGCUAAAUUGAAAACGGACUAGAAGAUGGUGCUAGAGGAAAGGUCAGAUAGUCACACAAGAUAUUACAAUUCAUCCUGUUAGCAACAUGAAUGAUUAUACCAAAUUUAAUGCAUUCCAUCAAAUAUCUGUUGACAUAUUUCAAUCAAAACCACAAGAAGAACCAGAGUGAAAGGUAAGGGAUCAUUAAUGUCUUUAGGAUUCAUCAUCUGGGAAUCAUGAAUGUCAAAAUUUUGUGCUAAUCCAUUCAGUAUAUGUUGAUAGAUUUCACUGGAUAAAUUAAAAACUUUGGCCUGCUGGUGGAGCUAGAUGAAAAAGAAGUAGGAUUCAUCCUCUGGGGACCAUGAAUGUCCGUACAAAAUUUCACAGCAAUCCAUCCAAAAGUUUUUGAGAUAUUUCAAUCUGGACCAAAGUGAUCUGUGACUCUGUCUACAGAGUAACGAAUGACCCUGAUAUAAAUGUAAACUAAGCUGAGCAUCAUUGUUUGUCUUGUUUGAACUUGGUGAAAAGUGGACUUUUAUCACUUUUGACAGUUACACAGCUCAAGCUAAUGCUUGUUAGCAAGAAUUCAUGUUUUUAUUAGUUACUCAACAUAUUGCGGAGUUAAGGCCAAACUUUUAUUAUGUAGGAAUUUGAGAUAGAUGCAGGUUGCUAGCUAAAUAAUUACUGAGCAUUAUAGUGAUCUGAUGCUAAGUCUACAGUGCUGCUCACAUAGUCUGCUUAUAACAUAUCUACAGUUGUAGAUUCAAAAAUAAUGACAAGUGACAACAUUUGGAGCUCAGACACUGACAGUGAUGUCCCUAACUUGUCCAGGCAAAGAAAAUAAAUAAAUAAAAUAUUUGGGAACAGAAAAGAGACCAAACAAACACCAACAAUACCAGGUCAUAACCUAUUAUAUGGCUGGACCAUGUAUGGUCAAUGUGCAAAAUUGAAAACGCAGUUGAAAACUGUUGUGGAAGUGCUGUAAACAACCACUUUCAAUGGCAAGUAGCUAAAGCCUGCUCAAAAAAGAUGGUAAAUGUCACUCAGUGAUGUAAUACGCUAUAAGCAUAUUCAUGAUGUUGUAUGUGCUUUCUGCCUCGUGUCAGCCAGUUUCAGCCCUUUAUCUUUUUGCUUCUCU